This 344-nucleotide ribosomal RNA is filed under the name uncultured rhodophyte. RNAcentral's name for it is "bacterial SSU rRNA". It matches the Rfam family "Bacterial small subunit ribosomal RNA", at positions 359 to 719 of the family's 1533-position model. The record is from RNAcentral. Lineage: Eukaryota; Rhodophyta.
GAAUUUUCCGCAAUGGGCGCAAGCCUGACGGAGCAAUACCGCGUGAGGGAAGAAUGCCUGUGGGUUGUAAACCUCUUUUCUCAGGGAAGAAAUUUGACGGUACCUGAAGAAUAAGCAUCGGCUAACUCCGUGCCAGCAGCCGCGGUAAUACGGGGGAUGCAAGCGUUAUCCGGAAUCACUGGGCGUAAAGCGUCUGUAGGUGGUUUAUUAAGUCUGCUGUUAAAUAUUGGAGCUUAACUCCAAAAAAGCAGUGGAAACUAUUAAACUAGAGUAUGGUAUGGGUAGAGGGAAUUCCGAGUGUAGCGGUGAAAUGCGUAGAUAUUCGGAAGAACACCAGUAGCGAA